This 398-nucleotide ribosomal RNA is filed under the name uncultured bacterium. Its description in RNAcentral is "bacterial SSU rRNA". It matches the Rfam family "Bacterial small subunit ribosomal RNA", at positions 28 to 416 of the family's 1533-position model. The record is from RNAcentral.
GACGAACGCUGGCGGCGUGCUUAACACAUGCAAGUCGAACGAGACGAUUGAAAGCUUGCUUUUGAAAGUCGAGUGGCAAACGGGUGAGUAACGCGUAGGUAACCUGCCUUGUAGCGGGGGAUAACUAUUGGAAACGAUAGCUAAUACCGCAUAACAGCUUUUGACACAUGUUAGAAGCUUGAAAGAUGCAAUUGCAUCACUACGAGAUGGACCUGCGUUGUAUUAGCUAGUAGGUAGGGUAACGGCCUACCUAGGCGACGAUACAUAGCCGACCUGAGAGGGUGAUCGGCCACAUUGGGACUGAGACACGGCCCAGACUCCUACGGGAGGCAGCAGUGGGGAAUAUUGCACAAUGGGGGAAACCCUGAUGCAGCAACGCCGCGUGAGUGAUGACGGCC